UACGGUCUUCGGGGUCGGGUGAAAAUCCCAACCGGUAGUGAUUGAGCACAGUCUCAUAAGCCUACGAGCGGUUCGCCGCAGGAUUUGGUGAAAUUCCAAAGCCGACAGUAAAGUCUGGAUGGGAGAAGACGUAC
Regulatory RNA element from Caryophanon tenue, 134 nucleotides. It matches the Rfam family "FMN riboswitch aptamer (RFN element)". Rfam says of the family: The RFN element is a highly conserved domain that is found frequently in the 5'-untranslated regions of prokaryotic mRNAs that encode for flavin mononucleotide (FMN) biosynthesis and transport proteins. This element is a metabolite-dependent riboswitch that directly binds FMN in the absence of proteins. Lineage: Bacteria; Bacillati; Bacillota; Bacilli; Caryophanales; Caryophanaceae. The record is from Rfam.